Molecule: ribosomal RNA, 468 nt
Filed under: uncultured bacterium
Lineage: Bacteria
Description: partial 16S ribosomal RNA
Rfam family: Bacterial small subunit ribosomal RNA
Source: RNAcentral
GACGAACGCUGGCGGCGUGCUUAACACAUGCAAGUCGAACGGAAAGGCCCUGCUUUUGUGGGGUGCUCGAGUGGCGAACGGGUGAGUAACACGUGAGUAACCUGCCCUUGACUUUGGGAUAACUUCAGGAAACUGGGGCUAAUACCGGAUAGGAGCUCCUGCUGCAUGGUGGGGGUUGGAAAGUUUCGGCGGUUGGGGAUGGACUCGCGGCUUAUAAGCUUGUUGGUGGGGUAGUGGCUUACCAAGGCUUUGACGGGUAGCCGGCCUGAGAGGGUGACCGGCCACAUGGGGACUGAGAUACGGCCCAGACUCCUACGGGAGGCAGCAGUGGGGAAUAUUGCACAAUGGGCGGAAGCCUGAUGCAGCAACGCCGCGUGCGGGAUGACGGCCUUCGGGUUGUAAACCGCUUUCGCCUGUGACGAAGCGUGAGUGACGGUAAUGGGUAAAGAAGCACCGGCUAACUACGUG